UACAGACGGUCCAAACGUUAUUCGGAAUCACUGGGCUUAAAGAGCUCGUAGGCGGUUUGUUGCGUCGGAUGUGAAAGCCCGGGGCUUAACCCCGGGUCUGCAUUCGAUACGGGCAGACUGGAGUGUGGUAGGGGAGAUCGGAAUUCCUGGUGUAGCGGUGAAAUGCGCAGAUAUCAGGAGGAACACCGGUGGCGAAGGCGGAUCUCUGGGCCAUUACUGACGCUGAGGAGCGAAAGCGUGGGGAGCGAACAGG
Molecule: ribosomal RNA, 253 nt
Filed under: uncultured bacterium
Lineage: Bacteria
Description: partial 16S ribosomal RNA
Rfam family: Bacterial small subunit ribosomal RNA
Source: RNAcentral